This is a long non-coding RNA of Seriola aureovittata, 1889 nucleotides long. RefSeq lists it as uncharacterized. The transcript is spliced from 3 exons. NCBI's taxonomy places the organism in Eukaryota, Metazoa, Chordata, Actinopteri, Carangiformes, Carangidae. The record is from RefSeq and is a predicted model, not a curated record.
GGAGGAACCUUUUUAGAACUGUGUCUGGUCUGUCCAAUGCUCGGUGAUUCUCAGUGGGAAGGGAGCAGAAGCCUGCUCAGUUGGAGGAAAAGACUUAUGAGCUUUAUUGAUCACAGGCUCACAUAGAGAGGGUGGCCUCCUUCGGCAUAAAACAGAGCUUUUUAUUGACAUGAAGACUGCAACAGCCCGUAGCUGUGACCUGGGGCGUUCCUGUACCUGCGGCCUGAGUCCGAACACGCCGCAGCCUUCGCCCUGGCUGCAGAUGGAUGGCUCUCAGACUCGUUAUGGGCCUCCUUGGCAGGGGAAGCUUUCACUGCCGCCGAACCCACAUUUAUAUUCUGCCGAGAGCGAGACCUUUGCAAAGGCGCCUUGUUGUUUUCUGUAUAUCUGACUCCGGGGCUGCAGGAUCUGGAUGUGCCACGACUACGCAUCACUCAUUGUUAUUCAUUUUUUGUUGUUGUUGGUGCUGUUAUUAUUAAUAACAUAAUCACACCUAUAAAUAUGUUUUUUUUCCUCUGCACUGUCGCCAGGUGCUUUCUCAUGGUGGGACCUGUUGGAUUUCUCUCUAUAAUAUUCUAAAUUGACUUGACCUUACUCUCUGAAGUGCCUUAAGAUAAUGUACGUUUUUGAAUUGAAUGAAAAUUUUAAUCUGAUAUAGUUUUGUAAGGACAAAUACUUUAAUGGCACCUUGAAAAAAAAGUUUCAUUAAGGGUGAAUGCCUUUUAGUUAACAAAAAAAUUACAGAAGAUCAUGAAACGAUUUAAGCACUAAUAAUAUGUCCUCACCAGGCUUUACAAAUGACAUCUCUCUCUCACCUUUUCUCCCUCUCUCUCAUGAAAGGAUUAGCAACAAAUAUUUCUGAAUCGAACCAUGCUGUAAUCACCAAGGUCCUGAAUACUCAGCUCAGAUAUACAUAUAUCCAGGCACACAGAGCUUUACAAUUCGAUACACCUGGAACAGAAUCGGGGAGGUCAACACACACACCUAGUGAAGCAGGCUGCUUUGUGGUGCUGGAUGGUGAAUACUAAAGCUUCAUUGCUGUAGGUGGGUGGAGGAGAAGAAAGGGAGAGAUGAUCUUUGUAGAGCUUCUGUUUUCCACUCAGCAUGUACACAGUCGCUACUGUGAAUAAAACACAGAGGCUACACAGAAAGAAGAAAACAAAACCAAAGAAAAUGUUGACGAAUUCCCCCCUUUUUUUUUAUAGCUUCAUCACCAUCAUGGACUUCCUGACAAUGGUUCCAGCAUGACUAAUGCCACUUGAUUGCACCUGUGCAAAGAUGUGUUAAUUUUUGAAGGCGUUCACACAUAUACUUCCUGCCAUAUACAUAAUUUUUUUCGCUCACCAAAGCAACAGGAACAAGACACCUAGCGCCUCGUACACAGCUCUAGCUUACAUAUUCUUUAUAACCAACUACCUGGCUCUUAUUGUAACUUGAUUAGAUGAUCUGUUUGAAAAUGACUGAACACAUGCAGUAUUGGUAAAAUGGCCCCAAGGCACAGACAAGGCAAAUACACGGACACGCAUCAUGCUAAUGUCUCCUCUUCUGUGGCUCCCGUUUCAAAAUGCUGGUGGCAUUUUAUAUAGUAAGACUGUGACGAAUCCUGACAUCUCCCUUGUUACUACUCCCCCCUUCCUCCUUCCUGUCACACAGAAGGCAUUUCAGUGGCAACCGGACAAAACGCCUUUGUGGCAGGGGCUUUGACAUUUGUGUAUGCUGGUAAGAAGAAGCAGAAAAUUAAGUCUUUAUCAUCUGCCCAGUGGAUUAUGAAUGGGUAGAUGGAAAGUAAAAGAACUGGUUGUAGGGUUGCACAGCUGAUUGUUUUGUAUCAAAAUUGUGAUUUGACUUCAAUUUAAAAUCAUAAUAGCUGUGAUCUUAAUUAAAAAUGU